AAGAAAUGCCAGGUGUUGUGGAUGGAGGGUUGGUCCGAUAGCAGUAUGAAGAAAAUACCUGAAAUGUUAUUCAGUGAAACAGGUGGUGGAGAAAAAUACAAUGAUAAAAAACGAAAAGAAGAAAAGAAAAAAAAUUCAGUUGAUCCUGAUUUUCUAAAAUCAUUUUUAUUAAUCCAUGAAUCUUGUAAAGCAUAUGGUGCUACACCAAGCCGAUAUAUGACCUUUUUACAUGUGUAUUCUGCCAUUAGUAGCAGCAAGAAAAAGGAAUUAUUAAAAAGACAAAGUCAUUUGCAGGCUGGUGUAUCUAAACUAAAUGAAGCUAAAGCUCUUGUGGAUGAACUGAACAGAAAGGCUGGAGAACAAAGUGUGUUACUUAAAACGAAGCAAGAUGAAGCAGAUGCUGCCCUUCAAAUGAUCACAGUGUCAAUGCAGGUAAUGUUUAGAGUGACCACAAAAAUGAAAACA
RNAcentral lists this small RNA (465 nucleotides) under Pongo abelii (Sumatran orangutan). RNAcentral's name for it is "retained intron". Lineage: Eukaryota; Metazoa; Chordata; Mammalia; Primates; Hominidae. The record is from RNAcentral.